This 257-nucleotide ribosomal RNA is filed under the name uncultured bacterium. Its description in RNAcentral is "partial 16S ribosomal RNA". It matches the Rfam family "Bacterial small subunit ribosomal RNA", at positions 524 to 776 of the family's 1533-position model. The record is from RNAcentral.
UACGUAGGUGGCAAGCGUUGUCCGGAUUUACUGGGCGUAAAGGAUGCGUAGGCGGACAUUUUAAGUCAGAUGUGAAAUACCCGAGCUUAACUUGGGUGCUGCAUUUUGAAACUGGGUGUCUAGAGUGCAGGAGAGGUAAGUGGAAUUCCUAGUGUAGCGGUGAAAUGCGUAGAGAUUAGGAAGAACACCAGUGGCGAAAGGCGACUUACUGGACUGUAACUGACGCUGAGGCAUAAAAGCGUGGGGGAGCAAACAGG